GUUAACUCCGUGCCAGCAGCCGCGGUAAUACGGAGGGGGCUAGCGUUGUUCGGAAUUACUGGGCGUAAAGCGCACGUAGGCGGACCAGCAAGUUAGGGGUGAAAUCCCGGGGCUCAACCCCGGAACUGCCCUUAAAACUGCGGGUCUGGAGUUCGAGAGAGGUGAGUGGAAUACCGAGUGUAGAGGUGAAAUUCGUAGAUAUUCGGUGGAACACCAGUGGCGAAGGCGGCUCACUGGCUCGAUACUGACGCUGAGGUGCGAAAGCGUGGGGAGCAAACAGGAUUAGAUACCCUAGUAGUC
Molecule: ribosomal RNA, 300 nt
Filed under: uncultured Paracoccus sp.
Lineage: Bacteria; Pseudomonadati; Pseudomonadota; Alphaproteobacteria; Rhodobacterales; Paracoccaceae
Description: bacterial SSU rRNA
Rfam family: Bacterial small subunit ribosomal RNA
Source: RNAcentral